Molecule: ribosomal RNA, 427 nt
Filed under: uncultured bacterium
Lineage: Bacteria
Description: bacterial SSU rRNA
Rfam family: Bacterial small subunit ribosomal RNA
Source: RNAcentral
UGGGGAAUUUUGGACAAUGGACGCAAGUCUGAUCCAGCCAUGCCGCGUGCGGGAAGAAGGCCUUCGGGUUGUAAACCGCUUUUGUCAGGGAAGAAACGAGUUUCUCUAAUACAGAGACUUAAUGACGGUACCUGAAGAAUAAGCACCGGCUAACUACGUGCCAGCAGCCGCGGUAAUACGUAGGGUGCAAGCGUUAAUCGGAAUUACUGGGCGUAAAGCGUGCGCAGGCGGUUAUGCAAGACAGAGGUGAAAUCCCCGGGCUCAACCUGGGAAUUGCAUUUGAGACUGCACGGCUAGAGUGUGUCAGAGGGGGGUAGAAUUCCACGUGUAGCAGUGAAAUGCGUAGAUAUGUGGAGGAAUACCGAUGGCGAAGGCAAUCCCCUGGACCUGUACUGACGCUCAUGCACGAAAGCGUGGGGAGCAAACA